AACGAACGCUGGCGGCAGGCCUAACACAUGCAAGUCGAACGCCCCGCAAGGGGAGCGGCAGCCGGGUGAGUAACACGUGGGAACCUUCCCUAUAGUACGGAAUAGCCCAGGGAAACUUGGAGUAAUACCGUAUACGCCCGAAAGGGGAAAGAAUUUCGCUAUAGGAUGGGCCCGCGUAGGAUUAGCUAGUUGGUGAGGUAAUGGCUCACCAAGGCGACGAUCCUUAGAUGGUUUGAGAGAACGACCAGCCACACUGGGACUGAGACACGGCCCAGACUACUACGGGAGGCAGCAGUGGGGAAUAUUGGACAAUGGGCGCAAGCCUGAUACAGCCAUGCCGCGUGAGUGAUGAAGGCCUUAGGGUUGCAAAGCUCUUUUGGCGGGGACGAUAAUGACGGUACCCGCAGAAUAAGUCCCGGCUAACUUCGUG
RNAcentral lists this ribosomal RNA (430 nucleotides) under uncultured bacterium. RNAcentral describes it as "partial 16S ribosomal RNA". It matches the Rfam family "Bacterial small subunit ribosomal RNA", at positions 29 to 507 of the family's 1533-position model. The record is from RNAcentral.